UUGGGAAGAAUGGGGCUACAUUUCCUAAUGCASGUCUCCGCCCACCCGUGANAAACGCCCUUAAACCCCUUAUAGGGACAAGGAGCUGGUAUCAGGCACGAAAAUCUGCCCAAAACACCUAGCUUUGCCACACCCACAAGGGAAUUCAGCAGUGAUUAACAUUGAAUAUUAGCACAAGCUUGAUKCAGUUAAAGUAAUUUUAGGGCCGGCUAAUCUGGKGCCAGCCGCCGCGGUUACACCAUGUGGCCCAAAUUGACCUCUAUCGGCGUAAAGCGUGAUUAAAGBAGUUGAACUAAAACUAAGCUGUGACACGCCUACUUCUAAKAAAAUCUAACACGAWAGUUACUCUAAUUUAACCAACUUGAHUUCACGACAACUGGGGAACAAACUGGGAUUAGAUANCCCACUAUGCCCAGUCGUAAACUUUUAAUUACAUCCGAAUUGCCANGGAACUAGNUGNGGNNNNGGNGUGCCCNAUUGNCUUGACGGUACCCAUAUCCCCCUAGAGGAGCCUGUCCUAUAAUCGAUAAUCCACGAUUGACCUCACCAUUUUCUAAGUUUAUCAAGCUUGUAUACCUCCGUCGUCAGCUUACCACGUGAGCGCUUAACUUAGUGAGCUUAAUGUUGUUUCACCCACACGUCAGGUCAAGGUGCAGUAUAUGUAAUGGAAAGAGAUGGGCUACACUUUCUACCCUAGAACACACGAAAAACUAAAUAUGAAAUCUAGUUAGAAGGCGGAUUUAGUAGUAAAAAGGAAUUAGAACGUCCAUUUUAACUCGGCACUGGGGUGUGUACACACCGCCCGUCACCCUCUUCAAAACAACAACAUAGUUUUUAACUAACUUAAACAAACCAGAAGAGGCAAGUCGUAACAUGGUAAGUAUACCGGAAGGUGUUCUUGGAAACGAAAUGUAGCUUAAUCUAAA
This 926-nucleotide non-coding RNA is filed under the name Atelopus bomolochos (Azuay stubfoot toad). The record is from RNAcentral. Lineage: Eukaryota; Metazoa; Chordata; Amphibia; Anura; Bufonidae.